GCAUUUUCUCUCCCUCACACACAUACACACACUCCUACUCUCUCUUGUCUGCACAUGCAUGCUCCUGGCAAGCCUGUGGCUAUUAUACCUGCCCAGUUCUCUUUCUGGGCCCAGCCCCAGCCUGUGCAUCCUCAGGCCUGGCUCACCGGGCUGCCAUGCUGUCUUCACCUUUCCCUCAGAGCCUGGUCACACUGUCCUGCACUUCAAAUGAUGACUGUGUGAGAGACCCGAAGCCACUGCAAGUUUUCUUUCCUGAUGUGAAGAUGCUUCUGCAAUCGAUCAACCAGUCUGCAGCUUCUAAGAAUCACACAGAGGUGCUCAGCACUAUAUGAAAUGUGCAGAUACAAAGGAGUAACAGAGACAGCCCUUUCCAGAAGAGAUUGCUCUGGGGAGUUUGCCCAGUUUGCGACACCCUCUUAACUUCCCACCCUACAUUCAUUCACAAGAAGUGGGCUCCUGGCAGUCAUGCUCAUCAACCGCAUGGCAGAGGCAGUCAUGACCCUGCACCCUGGGCCUGGUCGACUGGACUACAGAUGUCCAUUUGACCCACAGAGAAUCAAUCAGAGCCUAUUCCCAGG
Molecule: long non-coding RNA, 578 nt
Organism: Homo sapiens (human)
Lineage: Eukaryota; Metazoa; Chordata; Mammalia; Primates; Hominidae
Source: Ensembl